RNAcentral lists this long non-coding RNA (332 nucleotides) under Homo sapiens (human). RNAcentral describes it as "HSALNT0001669". The record is from RNAcentral. Lineage: Eukaryota; Metazoa; Chordata; Mammalia; Primates; Hominidae.
CCGCAACCUCCGCCUACCGCGUUCAAGCAAUUCUCCUGCUUCAGGCUCCCGAGUAGAUGGGACUACAGGCGCGCGCCACUACCGCCCGGCUAAUCCUUGCGUCACUUUAAGCAAGACACUUGAUCUCUCUGUGCCUCAGUUUCCUCACCCGCAGAAUGAAUAUCAAUAGCUCCUGCUACACAAAACUGUUUGGGCUAUUAAAUAUGUGAAUACUCAGAAAGUACCUGGCACAAAGUAGCCUUAUCAUUGCUAUUAUUUAGAACAAAGUUAUUGUUUCCAGGUUUGGAGGUGGGCUGGCGGAGGGAGGAGAAGACGCACUAGGUUGCCUUUCA